RNAcentral lists this ribosomal RNA (890 nucleotides) under Ilyonectria destructans. RNAcentral describes it as "eukaryotic LSU rRNA". It matches the Rfam family "Eukaryotic large subunit ribosomal RNA", at positions 40 to 962 of the family's 3401-position model. The record is from RNAcentral. Lineage: Eukaryota; Fungi; Ascomycota; Sordariomycetes; Hypocreales; Nectriaceae.
AUAUCAAUAAGCGGAGGAAAAGAAACCAACAGGGAUUGCCCUAGUAACGGCGAGUGAAGCGGCAACAGCUCAAAUUUGAAAUCUGGCCCUCGGGUCCGAGUUGUAAUUUGUAGAGGAUGCUUUUGGUGAGGUACCUUCCGAGUUCCCUGGAACGGGACGCCAUAGAGGGUGAGAGCCCCGUCUGGUUGGAUACCGAUCCUCUGUAAAGCUCCUUCGACGAGUCGAGUAGUUUGGGAAUGCUGCUCUAAAUGGGAGGUAUAUGUCUUCUAAAGCUAAAUAUUGGCCAGAGACCGAUAGCGCACAAGUAGAGUGAUCGAAAGAUGAAAAGCACUUUGAAAAGAGAGUUAAAAAGUACGUGAAAUUGUUGAAAGGGAAGCGCUCAUGACCAGACUUGGGCUUGGUUGAUCAUCCAGGGUUCUCCCUGGUGCACUCUUCCAGCUCAGGCCAGCAUCAGUUCGCCGCGGGGGAUAAAGGCUUUGGGAAUGUGGCUCCUCCGGGAGUGUUAUAGCCCACUGCGUAAUACCCUGUAGUGGACUGAGGUUCGCGCAUCUGCAAGGAUGCUGGCGUAAUGGUCAUCAGCGACCCGUCUUGAAACACGGACCAAGGAGUCGUCUUCGUAUGCGAGUGUUCGGGUGUUAAACCCCUACGCGUAAUGAAAGUGAACGCAGGUGAGAGCUUCGGCGCAUCAUCGACCGAUCCUGAUGUUCUCGGAUGGAUUUGAGUAAGAGCAUACGGGGCCGGACCCGAAAGAAGGUGAACUAUGCCUGUAUAGGGUGAAGCCAGAGGAAACUCUGGUGGAGGCUCGCAGCGGUUCUGACGUGCAAAUCGAUCGUCAAAUAUGGGCAUGGGGGCGAAAGACUAAUCGAACCUUCUAGUAGCUGGUUUCCGCC